ACUCAUGGCCAUACCGGAUUGUCAAAGUUUUAUCUCGUCAGAUCUCAGAAGCUAAUCAAGCUGGACCUGCUUAGUACUUGGAUGGAAGGCUGCUGGGAAUAUCAGGCGCCACAGUA
This 116-nucleotide ribosomal RNA is filed under the name Periophthalmus magnuspinnatus. The record is from RNAcentral. Lineage: Eukaryota; Metazoa; Chordata; Actinopteri; Gobiiformes; Gobiidae.